This 71-nucleotide transfer RNA is filed under the name Phrynobatrachus keniensis (Kenya river frog). Its description in RNAcentral is "tRNA-Gln". It matches the Rfam family "tRNA". Rfam says of the family: Transfer RNA (tRNA) molecules are approximately 80 nucleotides in length. The record is from RNAcentral. Lineage: Eukaryota; Metazoa; Chordata; Amphibia; Anura; Phrynobatrachidae.
UAAAAAAUAGUAUAAAGGAAGUACAAAGGGUUUUGAUCUCUUUAGUACAGGUUCAAAUCCUGUUUUUUUAG